This 108-nucleotide small nuclear RNA is filed under the name Procavia capensis (Cape rock hyrax). Lineage: Eukaryota; Metazoa; Chordata; Mammalia; Hyracoidea; Procaviidae. The record is from RNAcentral.
AUGGUUUCCUUCAGACGCACAUAUAGUGAAAUUGAAAUAAUACAGAGAAGAAUAGCAUGACCCCUGCACAAGGAUGACAUGAAAAUUCAUGAAGCAUUCCUUUCUUUU